RNAcentral lists this ribosomal RNA (586 nucleotides) under uncultured bacterium. RNAcentral's name for it is "bacterial SSU rRNA". It matches the Rfam family "Bacterial small subunit ribosomal RNA", at positions 337 to 917 of the family's 1533-position model. The record is from RNAcentral.
UCCUACGGGAGGCAGCAGUGGGGAAUUUUGCGCAAUGGGCGAAAGCCUGACGCAGCGACGCCGCGUGAGGGAUGAAGGUCUUCGUGAUCGUAAACCUCUGUCAGGUAGGAUUAAAUGUGUAUAUAUUAAUACUAUAUAUGCUUGACUUAACUUCCAGAGGAAGCCCCGGCUAACUACGUGCCAGCAGCCGCGGUAAUACGUAGGGGGCGAGCGUUACUCGGAUUCAUUGGGCGUAAAGCGAAUGUAGGCGGUUUGGUAAGUCAGAGGUGAAAGCCCUCAGCCUAACUGAGGAAUUGCCUUUGAUACUGCCGAACUAGAGGACAGGAGAGGAAAGUGGAAUUCCCGGUGUAGCGGUGGAAUGCGUAGAUAUCGGGAGGAACACCAGAGGCGAAGGCGGCUUUCUGGACUGAUCCUGACGCUGAGAUUCGAAAGCUAGGGGAGCAAACAGGAUUAGAUAUGCUGGUAAUCCUAGCCGUAAACGAUGGAUACUAGAUCUCGCAUGGACUUGCUUGGUUCAAACUAACGCGUUGAUGUGUCCCACCUGGGGAAUACGGGCGCAACGCUGAUCCCUGAAGGAACUUACAGG